GCAGAUUGGAAACAGGAAGCGUCGUCAACUGACAAACAGCAUAACGUCUCCCACUGUUUUCAUUGGUUUGAGAAAUGGUUUUGUGUCUUCGAAAAAGUCCGUUAUCAUCUCAACCGUUUUCAGAAGAGGUUAGCUAACGUUAAGUUAAGGGUGUGUUUUGAAUUAAGUUGGCCAAUGAUACAAACACCAUACUGUCCAACUCAAAGAUGAGAUCUGAUCGUUUGGCCCUGUGAUUCUUCAGGACAUUAUCUUGAUGCCAUUCACACUCAGUACAUGACAAAGGUGGUGACCAUAGACCUGCAUUAUAUGACUGACAGACA
This is a non-coding RNA of Pimephales promelas (fathead minnow), 320 nucleotides long. The record is from RefSeq and is a predicted model, not a curated record. NCBI's taxonomy places the organism in Eukaryota, Metazoa, Chordata, Actinopteri, Cypriniformes, Leuciscidae.